GUGGGGAAUAUUGGACAAUGGGGGGAACCCUGAUCCAGCCAUGCCGCGUGUGUGAAGAAGGCCUUUUGGUUGUAAAGCACUUUAAGCGAGGAGGAGGCUACCGAGAUUAAUACUCUUGGAUAGUGGACGUUACUCGCAGAAUAAGCACCGGCUAACUCUGUGCCAGCAGCCGCGGUAAUACAGAGGGUGCAAGCGUUAAUCGGAUUUACUGGGCGUAAAGCGCGCGUAGGUGGCCAAUUAAGUCAAAUGUGAAAUCCCCGAGCUUAACUUGGGAAUUGCAUUGGAUACGGGUUGGCUAGAGUAUGGGAGAGGAUGGUAGAAUUCCAGGUGUAGCGGUGAAAUGCGUAGAGAUCUGGAGGAAUACCGAUGGCGAAGGCAGCCAUCUGGCCUAAUACUGACACUGAGGUGCGAAAGCAUGGGGAGCAAACAGGAUUAGAUACCCCUGUAGUCC
This 451-nucleotide ribosomal RNA is filed under the name uncultured bacterium. RNAcentral describes it as "partial 16S ribosomal RNA". It matches the Rfam family "Bacterial small subunit ribosomal RNA", at positions 354 to 796 of the family's 1533-position model. The record is from RNAcentral.